AUUCCAGCUCCAAUAGCGUAUAUUAAAGUUGUUGCAGUUAAAAAGCUCGUAGUUGGAUUUCUGGCGGGAGUCCGGGUCGGCCUUAACGGGUUGCACUGUUGUGACGUCUCGCCGUUUCGAGGGGAAUGGGCUCGCUAUUAGGUUAGUGUGUUCGGGAACCUCGUCGUUUACUGUGAAAAAAUUAGAGUGUUCAAAGCAGGCCUUUGCUGUGAAUACAUUAGCAUGGAAUAAUAAGAUAGGACUGUAGUGCUAUUUUGUUGGUUUGCGUACUAUGGUAAUGAUUAAUAGGGAUAGUUGGGGGUAUUCAUAUUCAAUUGUCAGAGGUGAAAUUCUUGGAUUUAUGGAAGAUGAACUACUGCGAAAGCAUUUACCAAGGAUGUUUUCAUUG
RNAcentral lists this ribosomal RNA (388 nucleotides) under Stramenopiles sp. MAST-7B. Its description in RNAcentral is "partial small subunit ribosomal RNA". It matches the Rfam family "Eukaryotic small subunit ribosomal RNA", at positions 582 to 975 of the family's 1831-position model. The record is from RNAcentral.